CAAGGCGACGAUCGGUAGCCGGACUGAGAGGUUGAACGGCCACAUUGGGACUGAGACACGGCCCAGACUCCUACGGGAGGCAGCAGUGGGGAAUAUUGCACAAUGGGGGAAACCCUGAUGCAGCGACGCCGCGUGAGUGAAGAAGUAUUUCGGUAUGUAAACUCCUGUUGUUGGGGAAAAAGAGGAUGGUACCCAACAAGGAAGUGACGGCUAACUAC
This 218-nucleotide ribosomal RNA is filed under the name uncultured bacterium. RNAcentral's name for it is "partial 16S ribosomal RNA". It matches the Rfam family "Bacterial small subunit ribosomal RNA", at positions 269 to 504 of the family's 1533-position model. The record is from RNAcentral.